Molecule: non-coding RNA, 184 nt
Filed under: Bordetella petrii
Lineage: Bacteria; Pseudomonadati; Pseudomonadota; Betaproteobacteria; Burkholderiales; Alcaligenaceae
Also listed under: 1 other name
Description: 6S RNA
Rfam family: 6S / SsrS RNA
About the family: E. coli 6S RNA was the first non coding RNA to be sequenced, but its function was unknown until recently. It consists of 184 nucleotides that fold into an extended hairpin structure with a large single-stranded internal bulge. The 6S RNA specifically associates with RNA polymerase holoenzyme containing the sigma70 specificity factor.
Source: RNAcentral
UUGUCCCUGCCGUGUUCGUGACUCGGCCAUACAUUCUCUGAACCUAUGUCUUACGGCAUAUGGUUGCGUGAAUGGCGAGCUGGAGCGAUCGUCUCUCGCAGACGAACCCGACGCUCGACGGAACGCGACCACCUUGAACCUUACGGUUCGAGAUGCCGGCCUAGACGGCACAGGCGGGGCAUCU